This 91-nucleotide microRNA precursor is filed under the name Columba livia (rock pigeon). Its description in RNAcentral is "microRNA cli-mir-1803 precursor (cli-mir-1803-1)". It matches the Rfam family "mir-1803 microRNA precursor microRNA precursor family". The record is from miRBase by way of RNAcentral. Lineage: Eukaryota; Metazoa; Chordata; Aves; Columbiformes; Columbidae.
GAAGAGCUUGGGGCAUGAACCAGAGCCCAUUGUAGUCAAUGGGAGUCUUUUUCCAUUGACUUCAGUGGGGUUUGAAUCAGGCCUUUACUUC